RNAcentral lists this ribosomal RNA (468 nucleotides) under uncultured bacterium. RNAcentral describes it as "partial 16S ribosomal RNA". It matches the Rfam family "Bacterial small subunit ribosomal RNA", at positions 28 to 507 of the family's 1533-position model. The record is from RNAcentral.
GACGAACGCUGGCGGCGUGCUUAACACAUGCAAGUCGAACGGAAAGGCCCUGCUUUUGUGGGGUGCUCGAGUGGCGAACGGGUGAGUAACACGUGAGUAACCUGCCCUUGACUUUGGGAUAACUUCAGGAAACUGGGGCUAAUACCGGAUAGGAGCUCCCGCUGCAUGGUGGGGGUUGGAAAGUUUCGGCGGUUGGGGAUGGACUCGCGGCUUAUCAGCUUGUUGGUGGGGUAGUGGCUUACCAAGGCUUUGACGGGUAGCCGGCCUGAGAGGGUGACCGGCCACAUUGGGACUGCGAUACGGCCCAGACUCCUACGGGAGGCAGCAGUGGGGAAUAUUGCACAAUGGGCGGAAGCCUGAUGCAGCAACGCCGCGUGCGGGAUGACGGCCUUCGGGUUGUAAACCGCUUUCGCCUGUGACGAAGCGUGAGUGACGGUAAUGGGUAAAGAAGCACCGGCUAACUACGUG